CCUACGGGAGGCAGCAGUGGGGAAUAUUGGGCAAUGGGCGCAAGCCUGACCCAGCAACGCCGCGUGAAGGAAGAAGGCUUUCGGGUUGUAAACUUCUUUUCUCAGGGACGAAGCAAGUGACGGGACCGGAGGAAUAAGCCACGGCUAACGACGGGCCAGCAGCCGCGGUAAUACGUAGGUGGCCAGCGUUAUCCGGAUUUACUGGGUGGACAGGGCGUGUAGGCGGGACUGCAAGUCAGAUGUGAAAACCACGGGCGCAACCUGUGGCCUCCAUUUGAAACUGUCGUUCUUGAGUACUGGAGCGGCAGUCGGACUUCCUAGUGUAGCGGUGAAAUGCGUCGAUAUUAGGAGGAACACCAGUGGCGAAGGCGGUCUGCUGGACAGCACCUGACGCUGAGGCGCGAACGCGUGGGGAGCAAACAGGAUUAGAUACCCGAGUAGUC
Molecule: ribosomal RNA, 443 nt
Filed under: uncultured bacterium
Lineage: Bacteria
Description: partial 16S ribosomal RNA
Rfam family: Bacterial small subunit ribosomal RNA
Source: RNAcentral